UCCCUGGUGGUCCAAUGAUUAGAGCUUGGCCCUUCACUGCUGUGGCCCUAGGUUCAAUUCCUGGCCAGGGAA
This 72-nucleotide transfer RNA is filed under the name Capra hircus (goat). It matches the Rfam family "tRNA". Rfam says of the family: Transfer RNA (tRNA) molecules are approximately 80 nucleotides in length. Their secondary structure includes four short double-helical elements and three loops (D, anti-codon, and T loops). Further hydrogen bonds mediate the characteristic L-shaped molecular structure. tRNAs have two regions of fundamental functional importance: the anti-codon, which is responsible for specific mRNA codon recognition, and the 3' end, to which the tRNAs corresponding amino acid is attached (by aminoacyl-tRNA synthetases). tRNAs cope with the degeneracy of the genetic code in two manners: having more than one tRNA (with a specific anti-codon) for a particular amino acid; and 'wobble' base-pairing, i.e. permitting non-standard base-pairing at the 3rd anti-codon position. The record is from Rfam by way of RNAcentral. Lineage: Eukaryota; Metazoa; Chordata; Mammalia; Artiodactyla; Bovidae. RNAcentral also lists the same sequence under 1 other name.